Molecule: long non-coding RNA, 1249 nt
Filed under: Musa acuminata (dwarf banana)
Lineage: Eukaryota; Viridiplantae; Streptophyta; Magnoliopsida; Zingiberales; Musaceae
Description: long non-coding RNA (MACU_LNC004393)
Source: RNAcentral
ACUUCACAGCCAUGUAAAGCACGCACCCACAGAUAUAUAACUAUAUCACCACCAUCCUUUCGUUGUCGGGGUUGAUUGAGAUGGGCAUGGCGUCCGGGCAGCUGGUGGUGGUGCUGCUCCUCCUGGUUUCAUGCUUGCAGGUUCCGAUGGCAGCGAGGGUGGUGGAAGGGAAGUCGUGGGUCGAGCGCCGCCGCAUCUUGCCGCAGUCUACAAAACCGACGUCGAGGCUUUCGAAUUGCACCCAUGAUCGCACCAAGAGUGGCCGAGCUUGUUUCCACAAACAAAAGCAUCGAAGGUCUAUACUCUCUUCGGAGACUGACUAUUCUAUCCUGCGACAUGUUAUUCCAGUGGUUAUUUACUUUUAGUAUUUCGAUUCAUAUAUUUUAAAAAAAUUAUUGACAUCUAACAAUAAAUUAUCUAAUUUCAUUUAUCCUAACAUCAUUGAUUUUAAUAACAAAAAUAUAAAAAUAAAAUAAAAUUAAAAAUUUUAGAUGAUGAUAACGAUGAUAACGAACAGUGGUGAUGGACAAUGAUAUCACGAGAAGCCGUAGGUGGUUGAAUAAUUUUACCUUCAUCUCAUCUAUAAUAAUUACUCGUAGUCCCCAACAACACUGUCGUUUAUUACUAUCGACGUCGUCCAUCAUCACUAAUUGAAACGUUAAAAUUAUUGUUUUUAUAUUUUUAAAAACAAAAUUAAUAUCAUUAGGAUAAAUAUAUCCAGAUGUUUUACCUUUAUGAUUAUAAAAAUAUUGAUAUAUAUUUUUUAAAAUAAAAAAAUUAAAAUAUUAAAUAUAAAAAUUAAGUAAAAAAUGAAUAUGUAAUUAGUCUUAAUCGUGACUGACAGGAAAUUCUCUCUCUCGAAGGGGGAAGUUGCAGCUUCCAUAUAUUUCGUUUGUGUUUUCUCGCUUUCUCGAUACUUUGGGUUGUACCUAAUAAAUUGCAUGGACUAUAUGAUUGACCGCAUCAGGCUUGUCACAAUCAAAAAGCACUUGCCAUCACGAAGGACGUGAGAAGAGGCUGCCUCGACCGACCCUUUAUCUCCACCUCCGCGUGUUGCUGUUAGAAAUUUCCUUAAAAUCUCUGACAUGACACAUCAAGCAGCAGCCACGUACACCCUCCACGUCAGGUGGGACCAUUUGGUACCUCAUCUGUCAGUCUUCCGUUGACUAAAUAAAAUUAGGUUAGUGCAUGAUCAUGUAAAUUUGUAAUAAUCGAGGUUGAGAUUUGCGAAAAGGGAAAUUGAAAGACG